GUCCACACCGUAAACGUUGGGCGCUAGGUGUGGGAUCCAUUCCACGGGUUCCGUGCCGCAGCUAACGCAUUAAGCGCCCCGCCUGGGUAGUACGGCCGCAAGGCUAAAACUCAAAGGAAUUGACGGGGGCCCGCACAAGCGGCGGAGCAUGCGGAUUAAUUCGAUGCAACGCGAAGAACCUUACCUGGGUUUGACAUACAGAGAAAACCAUCAGAGAUGGUGGGUCCGUAAGGGUUCUGUACAGGUGGUGCAUGGCUGUCGU
RNAcentral lists this ribosomal RNA (262 nucleotides) under uncultured bacterium. RNAcentral's name for it is "partial 16S ribosomal RNA". It matches the Rfam family "Bacterial small subunit ribosomal RNA", at positions 793 to 1055 of the family's 1533-position model. The record is from RNAcentral.